CCUACGGGUGGCAGCAGUGGGGAAUAUUGCACAAUGGGGGAAACCCUGAUGCAGCGACGCCGCGUGAGUGAAGAAGUAUUUCGGUAUGUAAAGCUCUAUCAGCAGGGAAGAAGAAAGACGGUAGCUGACUAAGAAGCUCCGGCUAAAUACGUGCCAGCAGCCGCGGUAAUACGGAGGGGGCAAGCGUUAUCCGGAUUUACUGGGUGUAAAGGGGGCGUAGACGGCUGUGUAAGUCUGAAGUGAAAGCCUAGGACUCAACCCUGGGACUGCAUUGGAAACUGUGGAACUAGAGUGCUGACGAGGUAAGUGGAAUUCCAAGUGUAGCGGUGAAAUGCGUAGAUAUUAGGAGGAACACCAGUGGCGAAGGCGGCUUACUGGACAGUAACUGACGUUGAGGCUCGAAAGCAUGGGGAGCAAACAGGAUUAGAUACCCCUGUAGUC
RNAcentral lists this ribosomal RNA (441 nucleotides) under uncultured bacterium. RNAcentral describes it as "partial 16S ribosomal RNA". It matches the Rfam family "Bacterial small subunit ribosomal RNA", at positions 338 to 795 of the family's 1533-position model. The record is from RNAcentral.